RNA transcript from Phragmites australis (common reed), 2307 nucleotides. It is a transcript of the gene named protein transport protein SEC23 B-like, with no coding region annotated. The transcript is spliced from 6 exons. The record is from RefSeq and is a predicted model, not a curated record. NCBI's taxonomy places the organism in Eukaryota, Viridiplantae, Streptophyta, Magnoliopsida, Poales, Poaceae.
AUGAAGCAUGUAAAUUUUUUUUAGGAUUUUGAAGCAACAAAAGACUACAAUUUUAUAUAAAGAAAUAGUAAUUUUAACGAAAUACUGUUCACUCGGCAGUAACCACCCCACCAGAGCGAUGUUAGUCUCUGCUCACCGUGUCAGACUGAGGCGCUGAUAGACGUCUUAGUUUUGUAAUUUUUUUCUAUCGAGAAUCUAUUUACCUAAAUGUUAAUAUUAGAAAAUAUAAAAAAAACUCGAGAAAAACCAUAACAAGUUCCUCCAUCUUCAAGGUCGACGAAGAUGGAAGGUCCAGUAACUCGUAUGUCGUCGAAUCAAAACCUGACAACCCAGAACACACAUAAAUAAAGAUCGACAAAAUCCCUCCUCCCCUUUCGCAAAGGAAACCUGUUUACAUACACAAAUCACUUAACGAUAUGUCCGGAGGAAAAGUUUUUGGUUGUUUUGGUAAGGGAGGGACGCCCAAGGAUACGUUUGAUCCGUUUUCUAGGAGGCAAGUCGGACAAGUCAAAGCUGAAUUGGGGCCGGCUGGCCGGGCUGGGCAAUUUGCAUUGUGCAAAGGUUUCGGAUCCGCUGCGGCCGAACUCACCCAAAGCAGCGAUGGUGUGAGACGUUAUAACGAGCCGCGCCCCUGAGCUUUGCUGAGGUCUGCGCAGCGAGACGGCUGCAGUAAAGGAUUGUGAACUCCACAGAAGAAUGCGGUGCACUGAGACCUCGCGAUGGGAAAAAGACAGCGACGGGAGCGAAACGCCAGUUCCAACGGCUCCCCGUCGUUGGCCGGCGCGGCACGGGAUAGGAGAGAGGUUCCCACGCCCCUAGGAACCUCUCUCCUAUCCCUUCGCGGAGACGCCGAGCGGGGAAGGAGGUGGAGGUUGCGCUCGCGUGCUCGGGCGGAAGAGGCGCGCGAGGGGCAGCGACGGAGGCGCGCGCGAGGAGGGCGACAGAAGGUUGGCGGCGACGGAGAGGGGCUCUCGGAUCGCAUCGCACACCCUCCCGUUUCGCCCUCAACCGGCCUCGCCUUCAAACUCCGGCGGCCGAUGGCUCGGCGGUAGCAACUGCCGUAGCCUUCGGUGCUCCGCCGUACGCUAUCAUUCGCAAGGGCUGCCUGGAAUCGAUGCGGUCUCGAGUAUGUAUUUUGCGGUCAGUGUAUUUGAUUAUUCAUUCCGAACGCAAGCGAAAAGUUUCAGUGAUCAUACUGGCUCGAGGCAGCCUUGAUAUUAUUAGCAAAGCUAGGGAUUGAGGAAACAAUAUGUUCUGGAUUGACGUUUGGGCUUAAAUCUUCGAGCUGAGAGGCAUUCUAUUAAACAUUUGAUUUUCCAAUGACGUUGGACACGAAGCCAGAUAACCUUUGAGCUACCUGUGGAAGCCCAAUAGAACUAUCAUACAAGGCUGCUGUACUGAAGAUGUCUGAGUUCCUUGACCUUGAGGCCCAAGAUGGGAUAAGGAUGCCCUGGAAUGUUAUUCCGGGUACAAAGCAGGAGGCUGUGAACUGUGUGAUCCCUGUUUGUGCCAUCUAUACACCUCUGAAGUCAAUUCCUGAUAUACCAGUCCUCCCAUAUUCCCUACUUUGCUGUCGCAUGUGCCGUUCCACCAGUUUUCCUUUUUGUUGUAGAUACCUGCAUGAUUGAAGAAGAAAUUGGUUAUUUGAAGUCUGCACUGGCACAAGCUGUAGAGCUGUUCCCAGAUAAUUCCCUUGUUGGAUUCAUUACUUUCGGUACAUAUAUGCAGGUUCAUGAAUUGGGUUUUAGCUUGUUGCCAAAGUCAUGUGUUCAAGGGGAUAAAGGAGUUCACCAAGGAACAAAUAUUGGAACAAAUGUGCUUCUUUGCAGGGAAGAAAAUGCCCACCACCAGGGUGAUCGCUGGUACUAGGGACGGUCUUUCAUCUGAGAGCAUCGCUAGGUUCCUGUUGCCUGCUUCUGAAUGCGAGUUUGUGUUGAAUUCAGUUAUAGAAGAAAUGCAAAAGGACCCUUGGCCUGUUCCGGCUGAUCAGCGUGCAUCAAGAUGCACCGGAGCUGCCUUAAGUGUCGGCCAAUCUCCUGGGGCUGUCUUCCAUUUGCUUAUCAAUAAGUGUAGCGGCCAAUCUCCUGGUGCCGAGGUGAUCUUGGAUCUGAUCUGAGCUUAUCAGUAAACUUGGGCUGUCUUCCAUUUGCUUACGCAGCAUACAUGCUUUGCUGUCACGAAUAAAUUAAAUCUCUUUUGCUUGUGUAAAGACGUUCGAUAUGACUUCCACACUAUGGAUUCCAGAGUGUUAUGAGAUUGUUUUACUGGAACUAAUCGAGAUGGUGAAUUUACCCGACAUUUAUGUUU